UGCAGUCGAGCGCACUGGCCCAACUGAUAUGACGUGCUUGCACUGAUUUGACGAUGGAUUACCAGUGAGCGGCGGACGGGUGAGUAACACGUGGGCAACCUGCCCUAAAGCGGGGGAUAACAUUUGGAAACAGGUGCUAAUACCGCAUAACUACGAAAACCACAUGGUUUUCGUAUCAAAGAUGGUUUCGGCUAUCACUUUAGGAUGGGCCCGCGGUGCAUUAGCUAGUUGGUAGGGUAACGGCCUACCAAGGCAAUGAUGCAUAGCCGAGUUGAGAGACUGAUCGGCCACAAUGGAACUGAGACACGGUCCAUACUCCUACGGGAGGCAGCAGUAGGGAAUCUUCCACAAUGGGCGCAAGCCUGAUGGAGCAACACCGCGUGAGUGAAGAAGGGUUUCGGCUCGUAAAACUCUGUUGUUGAAGAAGAACGUGCAUGAGAGUAACUGUUCAUGCAGUGACGGUAUUCAACCAGAAAGUCACGGCUAACUACGUGCCAGCAGCCGCGGUAAUACGGAGG
RNAcentral lists this ribosomal RNA (518 nucleotides) under Limosilactobacillus panis. RNAcentral's name for it is "bacterial SSU rRNA". It matches the Rfam family "Bacterial small subunit ribosomal RNA", at positions 56 to 531 of the family's 1533-position model. The record is from RNAcentral. Lineage: Bacteria; Bacillati; Bacillota; Bacilli; Lactobacillales; Lactobacillaceae.